AACGCGUGGGAAAUCUACCCUUGAAUUGGGGAUAACACUCCUAACGGGGUGCUAAUACCGAAUGAGACCACAGGGUCGCAUGGCCCGGAGGUUAAAGGUGGCCUCUACAUGUAAGCUACCGAUCGAGGAUGAUCCCGCGUCCCAUUAGUUUGUUGGUGGGGUAAUGGCCUACCAAGGCGACGAUGGGUAGCUGGUCUGAGAGGAUGGUCAGCCACACUGGGACUGAGAUACGGCCCAG
This 238-nucleotide ribosomal RNA is filed under the name uncultured bacterium. RNAcentral's name for it is "partial 16S ribosomal RNA". It matches the Rfam family "Bacterial small subunit ribosomal RNA", at positions 112 to 334 of the family's 1533-position model. The record is from RNAcentral.